UUAUUAGUAGGUAGAGAGGUCCCUUGUGUCACUGGAUUUGAGAAUGAGUGGCAAGGUGCCAAUAAUGCUGGCAGGAAGAGUAGCUAUAAAUUGAUGGUUGUGGUGAUCUGAAUAAGAAUGAUCCCAUAGACUCAUGUGUUUGAAUACUUAGUCAGCAGGGAAUGGCAUUACUUGAAAGGGUUAGCAGGAUUAGGAGGGGUGGCCUUGUUAGAGAAAGUGUGUCACAGGGGAUCAGCUUUGAUAUACAUCUAAAGCCCAUAUCAGGACUAGUUCUCCCCCACCCAUCUCCCGUCCCUCUCAGUCUUUCUCUCUCUUUGCCUGUGGAACAGUAUAUAAAGCUGUCAGCUCCAGGACGACGCCUGCCUGCACUCUGCCAUGCUGCUCACCAUGAGGUAAAUGGCUGCCAUAAAGGAUCACACUUCACCAUGUCGCUUGGAUUGAGGCUGCUGUGGAUAAAAAUUCCUGGAAAAAAAGCUGUGUGAAAAAAAGCAGACCGACAGACUUAAGCUUCAAGGACUGGGGAGAGUUCAGAAUAUUACAGGGUCAUUUCCUAAUGAAAACUCUUCUAGUGCUAUCUUUAGCCCCUAAAGAGACAUUCUUGUCCACCUCUCUUUUGUAUUUAUCAUCCAUACAAACAGAUAAAAACUCUUUGGAAUGUAUUAACAACACCCCCUUCUCAGCCUGCCAAGGUGCUAAGAAGAAUGCUGUCACAUAGAAUCUGAGGUUGGGUCUGGUGUUCCUCUACUUUUAAGACUCCUCUCUGAGGUUUCCACCAAUAUAUAUUAAACAUCCAUUCAUGCUCAACUUUAUUUGUCUUGGUACUAUUAAAAAAAACUGUCAUGAAACUGUAGGGACAUUGGAACAUGGAGCUUGGAACAACCUAAAUCCCUGUUCCAGGUCCAUCGUUACAUCCAUUUGGCUUCAGAACAAACCCUCUUACUCCCUUUGAGGUGAGAGCUGUGUUUUUGAGGUGACCCUGUAUAUGCGCACACUCCCUUGUCAUGAUCUGCAAACCCCUGGAUGACAGGCCCUCCUGCUCCUCUUCUGUUUUUCUCAUGGACAAUCCAUGCAGGUGGCAAGUUUGUGCUCUGAACUAUCUGGGCACAGACAUAAACAAGCCCUGCUCAGCAAGUUGAGAGUUCUUUUGAUUCCAUGCCCACCCCAUAUGCCACUACAGCUGACUUCUCCCAUGUGAAUCUAAAAGGCAAACAGGAAAUUCACCCAGACACUGGAUCCCCACAUCUGGCAAGCUUAGUGCAACUCAUUUACUUCUUGGGUUUUCAUUUUCCAGUGAGCUCUGGAUCUCUCACAAGGACAACCAGGAAACCCAAACUGCACAGGCUCCUCUUCACCUGCCCUCUGUGCACCCCAACUGACCCUCAGCCUCCUGAGACCUCUCCUAGACUCCCUGGAGCCCCCAUGUGAAGUCACCUCCUCUGCCAGUAAAAGUUUUCCAGGACUCUAGGAAGCAUGCCAGGGUGCUGGGGUCUACAGCGCUGUUGCUGUGCACACUCUGGAGGGUGACUGCAUAGGGACCAUUGCCAAGCCCCUUAUGUGACCACUCACUCCUUCAGAGAAAGUUUGUGAAUCCCUGAAAUUCAGGCUGCAGCACAGUCAGCUUCCCUUCAGUUGAAGCCUUCCUUCCUUCCCAAGGAGGUACCAGCCUGGCUAGCCAACCCUGCCUGCUGUGAUGCAGCCUUUCUAGCCCCUGGAGGACUGCUCCUCUUGAUGAUCUUAACCCUUUGUGUCUGGGAGGCAAGCUGCAUUUCCAAGGUUGAGCAAAAAUGUGGUUCUCUGGUGACCAGACUGCAGGACCUGUUUCAUAGAAGAAGCAUCCAUGAAACAGCCAGAGAGACACAGACUGAAAAA
Molecule: long non-coding RNA, 1869 nt
Organism: Mus musculus (house mouse)
Lineage: Eukaryota; Metazoa; Chordata; Mammalia; Rodentia; Muridae
Product: predicted gene, 41902
Exons: 2
Source: RefSeq, a predicted model, not a curated record